UACGAAGGGGCUAGCGUUGCUCGGAAUCACUGGGCGUAAAGGGUGCGUAGGCGGGUCUUUAAGUCAGGGGUGAAAAUCCUGGAGCUCAACUCCAGAACUGCCUUUGAUACUGAGGAUCUUGAGUUCGGGAGAGGUGAGUGGAACUGCGAAGUGUAGAGGUGAAAUUCGUAGAUAUUCGCAAAGAACACCAGUGGCGAAGGCGGACUCAC
RNAcentral lists this ribosomal RNA (209 nucleotides) under uncultured bacterium. RNAcentral's name for it is "partial 16S ribosomal RNA". It matches the Rfam family "Bacterial small subunit ribosomal RNA", at positions 524 to 729 of the family's 1533-position model. The record is from RNAcentral.